This 140-nucleotide microRNA precursor is filed under the name Hevea brasiliensis (rubber tree). RNAcentral's name for it is "miR6173 stem-loop (hbr-MIR6173)". Lineage: Eukaryota; Viridiplantae; Streptophyta; Magnoliopsida; Malpighiales; Euphorbiaceae. The record is from miRBase by way of RNAcentral.
CGCUGUGCGUAUCGACCCGUGCAGUAUCCAUCGUUUAAAGCUAGGGGAGCGGAAUGGGAUUAGAUACCCCAGUAGUCCUAAGCCGUAAACGAUGGAUACUGCACGGGUCGAUACGGCACAGCGCUGUAGCUAACGCGUUA